GGGUGAGCGGCGGAGGGGUUAGUAACGCGUGGGAAUAUACCCUUUGGUACGGAAUAGCCUCUGGAAACGGAGAGUAAUACCGUAUGAGCCCUUCGGGGGAAAGAUUUAUCGCCAAAGGAUUAGCCCGCGUUAGAUUAGGUAGUUGGUGGGGUAAUGGCCUACCAAGCCUACGAUCUAUAGCUGGUUUUAGAGGAUGAUCAGCAACACUGGGACUGAGACACGGCCCAGACUCCUACGGGAGGCAGCAGUGGGGAAUCUUGGACAAUGGGGGCAACCCUGAUCCAGCCAUGCCGCGUGAGUGAUGAAGGCCUUAGGGUCGUAAAGCUCUUUCGCCUGUGAAGAUAAUGACGGUAGCAGGUAAAGAAACCCCGGCUAACUCCGUGCCAGCAGCCGCGGUAAUACGGAGGGGGUUAGCGUUGUUCGGAAUUACUGGGCGUAAAGCGCACGUAGGCGGACUGGAAAGUUGGGGGUGAAAUCCCGGGGCUCAACCCCGGAACUGCCUCCAAAACUAUCAGUCUAGAGUUCGAGAGAGGUGAGUGGAAUUCCGAGUGUAGAGGUGAAAUUCGUAGAUAUUCGGAGGAACACCAGUGGCGAAGGCGGCUCACUGGCUCGAUACUGACGCUGAGGUGCGAAAGUGUGGGGAGCAAACAGGAUUAGAUACCCUGGUAGUCCACACCGUAAACGAUGAAUGCCAGUCGUCGGGUAGCAUGCUAUUCGGUGACACACCUAAACGGAUUAAGCAUUCCGCCUGGGGAGUACGGUCGC
This 765-nucleotide ribosomal RNA is filed under the name Paracoccaceae bacterium. RNAcentral's name for it is "bacterial SSU rRNA". It matches the Rfam family "Bacterial small subunit ribosomal RNA", at positions 89 to 889 of the family's 1533-position model. The record is from RNAcentral. Lineage: Bacteria; Pseudomonadati; Pseudomonadota; Alphaproteobacteria; Rhodobacterales; Paracoccaceae.